UUGGAGGGCAAGUCUGGUGCCAGCAGCCGCGGUAAUUCCAGCUCCAAUAGCGUAUAUUAAAGUUGUUGUGGUUAAAAAGCUCGUAGUAGAAGCUCGGGCUCCGGCCGACCGGUCCGCCUCACCGCGUGCACUGGUUCGGCCGGGCCUUCACCUUCUGCGGAACCGCAUCUCCUUCACUGGGGGUGUCGGGGAAACAGGACGUUUACUGUGAAAAAAUUAGAGUGCUCCAGGCAGGCCUAUGCUCGAAUAGAUUAGCAUGGAAUAAUGGAAUAGGACGUGUGGUCUUAUUUUGUUGGUUUCUAGGACCGCCGUAAUGAUUAAUAGGGACAGUCGGGGGCAUCAGUAUUCAAUCGUCAGAGGUGAAAUUCUUGGAUCGAUUGAAGACUAACUACUGCGAAAGCAUUUGCCAAGGAUGUUUUCAUUUAUCAGGAACGAAAGUUAGGGGAUCGAAGACGAUCAGAUACCGUCGUAGUCUUAACCAUAAACUAUGCCGACUAGGGAUCGGACGGUGUUAUUUCUUGACCCGUUCGGCGCCUUACGGGAAAC
Molecule: ribosomal RNA, 546 nt
Filed under: uncultured Ascomycota
Lineage: Eukaryota; Fungi; Ascomycota
Description: SSU rRNA
Rfam family: Eukaryotic small subunit ribosomal RNA
Source: RNAcentral